This 25-nucleotide non-coding RNA is filed under the name Cricetulus griseus (Chinese hamster). The record is from RNAcentral. Lineage: Eukaryota; Metazoa; Chordata; Mammalia; Rodentia; Cricetidae.
UUUUCCCAAGUCAUAAUACUGUAAU